RNAcentral lists this ribosomal RNA (465 nucleotides) under uncultured bacterium. Its description in RNAcentral is "bacterial SSU rRNA". It matches the Rfam family "Bacterial small subunit ribosomal RNA", at positions 331 to 793 of the family's 1533-position model. The record is from RNAcentral.
CCAGACUCCUACGGGAGGCAGCAGUGAGGAAUAUUGGUCCAUGGUCGGGAGACUGAACCAGCCAAGCCGCGUGAGGGAGGAAGGUACAGAGUAUCGUAAACCUCUUUUGUCAGGGGACAAAGACUGGGACGCGUCCCCGGAUGAGUGUACCUGAAGAAAAAGCAUCGGCUAACUCCGUGCCAGCAGCCGCGGUAAUACGUAGGUGGCAAGCGUUGUUCGGAAUAACUGGGCGUAAAGGAUGCGUAGGCGGUUAAACAAGUUAUAUGUUAAAUAUAUAGGCUUAACCUGUAGAAAGCAUAUAAAACUGUUUAACUAGAGUGCAGGAGAGGUAAGUGGAAUUCCUAGUGUAGCGGUGAAAUGCGUAGAGAUUAGGAAGAACACCAGUGGCGAAGGCGACUUACUGGACUGUAACUGACGCUGAGGCAUGAGAGCAUGGGGAGCAAACAGGAUUAGAUACCCCAGUAA